Molecule: ribosomal RNA, 485 nt
Filed under: uncultured bacterium
Lineage: Bacteria
Description: partial 16S ribosomal RNA
Rfam family: Bacterial small subunit ribosomal RNA
Source: RNAcentral
AUUGAACGCUGGCGGCGUGCUUAACACAUGCAAGUCGAACGAGAACGGAAUAUAGCUUGCUAUAUUUGUCAGCUAAGUGGCGCACGGGUGAGUAAUGUAUAGAUAACCUGCCCUUAAGAAAGGAAUAACAGUUGGAAACGACUGCUAAUGCCCUAUAUGCCUUUAAUACAUAAGUAUGCAAGGGAAACGCUUUAGUGCUUAAGGAUGGGUCUGUAUGGUAUCAGCUUGUUGGUGAGGUAAUGGCUCAUCAAGGCUAUGACGCCUAACUGGUUUGAGAGGAUGGUCAGUCACACUGGAACUGAGACACGGUCCAGACUCCUACGGGAGGCAGCAGUGGGGAAUAUUGCACAAUGGACGAAAGUCUGAUGCAGCAACGCCGCGUGGAGGAUGACACAUUUCGGUGCGUAAACUCCUUUUAUAUAGGAAGAUAAUGACGGUACUAUAUGAAUAAGCACCGGCUAACUCCGUGCCAGCAGCCGCCGUAA